This is a long non-coding RNA of Marmota monax (woodchuck), 2751 nucleotides long. RefSeq lists it as uncharacterized. Lineage: Eukaryota; Metazoa; Chordata; Mammalia; Rodentia; Sciuridae. The transcript is spliced from 2 exons. The record is from RefSeq and is a predicted model, not a curated record.
GGGAACUGCCCUGGGCACUAGGGAACAUAGUCCCCGGCUCAUGCCAGGGACACUCCAGAAAGGCCUGGGAGGGUGCGCUGGUCAGGGUCCACGUGGCCUCUUUGUCUGCUGCCUGCUCUGGGGACCGGUGCCGGGCAGGCCUCCUGUUCUGCUGAAGUGGGCGUGAGCGUGGGGGAGGGGACCGUGGGGCUCUUUCCAUUUACAUUUUUCAAAUAGUUUCCUCUGUUCUCCAAGAGGCCUGUGCACUGGGAGGCGGCAUUUGACCUUUGGGUUGUUGGGGACCCAGCCAGAUGGGGGUGUUGAUGGCCGCCAGCAGCCGCUCCAGACAGGAAUGGAAGUCACAUUCCUACCUGCUUCAACCUCUGGCCUGGAGAGGACAGGAGGAGUGGCAGGGUGGGACCGCUGUGCCAGCCCUUGGUCAGAGCUGCGUGCCCCCUCCGCCCCAGCCCUGGCCGCUGGUGCCCCGCUCUGAAGACCUCCCAGUAAAGCAUGUUCGACUUGAGAGUUUGGUACAGAAGGUUCCAGACGUCCCCGGGGACCCAGGAACAGCACUGCCCAGCCGGAGCUGGUCCUGAAACCAGGGAGGAGCCCAGGAAAAGCCGUGGACCUGGACCAGGAGGAGCCGGGUGCCGGUUCCGGUUCUUCUGUGCAUCCCGUCCUUGCCACAGCCCUGCAGCAGGUGCACGGUCCCCGUUUUGCAGAUGAGGACACCCAGGCGCAAGGCAGGGCCUCAAACCAGAUGCCUGGCCCUGGGGCUGCCCUUCUCCCGCGGGCCACGUGGCCUGGGGAGCUGCUCACGGCAGGAAGCUGCCCAGGCAGCUCUGUGUGGGGGCUCAGGCCCCCUGGUAGGCGGGAGCGCUGCCCCCCGACCGUGCUCUUCACCCCUCUGCUCCCCCUUGCCCCACGUUUCCCCGUGUCCUGAUCACACCGUUGGUUCCGAGGCCACCCUGCCACAGCCCCGCAGGAGAAACGAAGGUGUUUUUCUUAUUUUGAGUCCUGAAGGCCAGGGCUUCAUGGGAGGAGGGACACAGCGGUCCCUUGCUGGUCUCCCACUUGGAAGUUCUGGAAUCUUGACUGCAGGGGCCUCUGGAGACAGACGGGACAGGGGUCUCCCUGGCCCUCUGAACAGAGUGGCCCUAGGAGAAUGGGAGUGGACAGAGGAGCCCGGAGAGGCUGAUGUGCCCUGAAGUCCGCAUGGUGGGUGGGCCCGGCCUCUGGGGACGGGACUGAGUCCCCGCUGGACCCCAGGCUCCCUGGGCCCCUCGCAGAGUCACUGGGGGAGCCUGUGUGCCACCCCUCCGCCCCAGGCAGGACAGGACAGUGGCCUCUUGCUCGCCUUGCUGGCUGCCCUGCCUCCUGGGCAUCAUGUGUGCUAGGAAGGACCUGGGGUUGGGGUGGCCCCAUAGCACAUCACAGAACAGCCUCCUGGUCAGCCAUGUUGCCAGGGCCCAGGCUACUGGCCACCCAGCCACCCAGCUGGGCACAGCCCAGGUCCCCAGGUGUCACUCCUGCACCUUGAUUCCCGCAUUGGUCAGCAGGGAGGGUACCCCGGCCCCUGCAGUGGGGGGUCUGUGCCCAGCACCGCCCAGGCCUUGCCCCCGGGGUUUCCUGCACGCCAGGCCCCACCCCCACCCCCGUGACCCUGUCCCCUCUUUCUGAGCCCAAGGUGAUUUUUCAGUUAACUGGACUGGCUGGAACCCGGACCCCCUGGAGUGUGGGAACCGUCCCAGGCCAGGGGCCUCCCUCCCCAACUCCUGGGACCUUGGCUUUGGGGGAGGGUCUGGCUUCACAUCAGGACACCAGGAUGUGACCCCGCGCCCUUCUGAAAAACCCCAGAUGGUGCCUUCGGGAGGCCCGGGAGGCCCAGGAGGCCUGAGGCCCUGCACAGCCUCUCCACGCCCACUCUGGCCCCGGGAGCAGGAACCUGCUCGUCGGUGACUUUGUGCUCGUUGGUGACUUUAUUGCUAAGUCAUCUGAGAGGCGGCGGCGGUUUUCCUGAGGGGAGCAUUUGAAGUGUCAGAGCGGGUUUUAAGUCAUCCUGGGGCAGCGGCUCAGCUGGGCUCCGGAGGAGGACGAGGACGUGACCUGCCAGGGUCAGAUGGCCACUGAAGGACAGCGCCAGGAUUUGGACUAUGUCGUUGGUUCCAGAAGCACCGCUCGCACCCGGCACUGUGCAGGGACACAGGAACGUGCAGCAGCGGGAGCCAUUGUCACCCAUUCCAGUCCACUGUCACAGGUCGGAGUGGACGGUGGGUCCUACAGCUCCGGCCUGUGUGCACGGCCCUGUUGGCCAAGGCGCUGAGAACCUGGAUCUGCUGGCCACAGGGGUCAGCAGGCGUGGGGACUCCAGCCCUGCGGCCCGCGUGUGAUGGCGGGGUUGGCCCCGGACACCCGCUUCUCUGGGUGGCUGUUCACACCUGUGGGACCUUCGGCCUGACUCACCCGGGUUGGCCCUGAGACCGACUUGGAGUUCUGAGCCUGAUCCUUGGCACUGACCCUUCCGGCCCCUGGAACCCGUGGCCCAGCUCAAGGGCGAGAGACCACAGGCCGCCUCCUGGGCCCAGUGUCCCUGGGAACUGUGGUGUCCCCUGGGAGCUGGGGUGGGUGCAGAAGGGGAUAGACCUGGGGUGUUGUGCUGCUGGCUCAGACUUGGGCGGGCAGGCAGACGUCCCUGCCGUCAUGGGCCUUGCUCAGGUGGCUCUCUGGUCUGGUGAGUCCCCGCUCAGUGCAUUGAAGGGCUUGUCAUCGACA